UCCCAUGCCAUUGUAUUUCUCUUUCAAUGUGCACUGGAGGUGACGUCAGGUAUACAUCAAGUAAAUGGCUCAGGAGAAGGGAACUGUCAGGCAGCCAUAAAUUACAGAGAGUUAUGGUCGAGUUUAUGGUUCUUCAACUCUUAAUACACCUUGCAGCUUUAGCAUAGCACUUGAGCUCACAGUGAGACAACAGUUGACAGGAUUAUAUUUUAUUUUAAGAAGUUUAUAUUUUAAGAAGCCCAUUUGCUGCUUUCUUUUUCUCCUACUUCAGUUUUUGUCUUGGAAACAAAUGAUUAUGGAACUUGGGCUUCCUUGUCACUGUCUGAAGUGCCCCCUCAGGGUAAAUCAGCUUGGGUGAAAGCAGAGCCAGCCUCAUUCCUGCCAAACCCUCGGGGGCCUGGGGACGAGGAAACCCAGCUGGAUCCUGCAGGAUGGGCAGAGCCCAGAGGCAGAACCCUGCUCCUGCAGUGCAGCCCAGCCCGGGUGGGUCUGACACUGCUGUGGGCGAGCUCUGGGCUGGGAACAGACCCGAACGUGUCCUCAGGGGAUGUUCACCAGGCCGUGCACAAAACAAGUGUGAAAAUGAUGGAUAUUUCAAAUGAAAAUUCAUGGAGUGUUGCCUCAGGGUGGAAGUGGUGCCCUGAACACUGUUUUGGACAGUUCCUGCUCGCUCUCCAUGGAGGAUUUUGGCUGCUGUGCUGAAGAGUUCUCACCACUGGUGAGCACUCAGAGAACAUCUGCAAACAGCAGGAGGGGCUGGCACAGUGUGCUCCCCUGGCAGAUGGCAUCUGGAACCCUGGGACAUUGGCACAGGAGAGCUGUGCUGAGCCCCUGGACAGCAUCCAGACAUGGGAGCUGGGAGAGAUCACCUCCAAAAUUCAGCCAGAAAGGAAACCCUGAGGAGAGCUGGCCUGCAGCAAGGUACAGAACAGGACAAUUUAAAUCGAGCAAUCCCUCCCCUUUCUUGGCUUGGAUUUGGCUGUGUCAGUCCUCACUUUUCAAGGGGGGCAGAAACCCAGCC
Long non-coding RNA from Passer domesticus (house sparrow), 1021 nucleotides. RefSeq lists it as uncharacterized. The transcript is spliced from 5 exons. Lineage: Eukaryota; Metazoa; Chordata; Aves; Passeriformes; Passeridae. The record is from RefSeq and is a predicted model, not a curated record.